AACGAACGCUGGCGGCAGGCCUAACACAUGCAAGUCGAACGCUCCAGCAAUGGAGAGUGGCAGACGGGUGAGUAACGCGUGGGAACCUUCCCUAUGGUUCGGAAUAGCUCAGGGAAACUUGAGGUAAUACCGGGAUAAGCCCUUCGGGGAAAGAUUUAUCGCCAUUGGAUGGGCCCGCGUAGGAUUAGCUAGUUGGUGAGGUAACGGCUCACCAAGGCGACGAUCCUUAGCUGGUCUGAGAGGAUAGAUCAGCCACAACUGGGACUGAGACACGGCCCA
Molecule: ribosomal RNA, 279 nt
Filed under: uncultured bacterium
Lineage: Bacteria
Description: partial 16S ribosomal RNA
Rfam family: Bacterial small subunit ribosomal RNA
Source: RNAcentral